GAUGAACGCUGGCGGCGUGCCUAAUACAUGCAAGUCGAGCGAAUGGAUUAAGAGCCUGCUCUUAUGAAGUUAGCGGCGGACGGGUGAGUAACACGUGGGUAACCUGCCCAUAAGACUGGGAUAACUCCGGGAAGCCGGGGCUAAUACCGGAUAACAUUUUGAACCGCAUGGUUCGAAAUUGAAAGGCGGCUUCGGCUGUCACUUAUGGAUGGACCCGCGUCGCAUUAGCUAGUUGGUGAGGUAACGGCUCACCAAGGCAACGAUGCGUAGCCGACCUGAGAGGGUGAUCGGCCACACUGGGACUGAGACACGGCCCAGACUCCUACGGGAGGCAGCAGUAGGGAAUCUUCCGCAAUGGACGAAAGUCUGACGGAGCAACGCCGCGUGAGAGAUGAAGGCUUUCGGGUCGUAAAACUCUGUUGUUAGGGAAGAACAAGUGCUAGUUGAAUAAGCUGGCACCUUGACGGUACCUAACCAGAAAGCCACGGCUAACUACGUACCAGCAGCCGCCGUAA
RNAcentral lists this ribosomal RNA (515 nucleotides) under uncultured bacterium. RNAcentral's name for it is "partial 16S ribosomal RNA". It matches the Rfam family "Bacterial small subunit ribosomal RNA", at positions 28 to 523 of the family's 1533-position model. The record is from RNAcentral.